CCCUUAGAUGUUCUGGGCCGCACGCGUGCUACACUGAGUAAUUCAAUGGGUAAGGGAACGCUAGAGCAUUACCUAAUCUUGAAAUUUGCUCGUGAUGGGGAUCGACGGUUGCAAUUUUCCGUCGUGAACGAGGAAUACCUUGUAGGCGCAUGUCAUCAUCAUGCGCCGAAUACGUCCCUGCCCUUUGUACACACCGCCCGUCGCUCCUACCGAUGGAGUGAUCCGGUGAGGCUCUGGGACCUGGACGGAAAGAGCGUUUCGCUUGUUCUGUUUGGGAAACUUGGUCGAACCUUAUCAUUUAGAGGAAGGAGAAGUCGUAACA
This 322-nucleotide ribosomal RNA is filed under the name uncultured eukaryote. RNAcentral describes it as "partial 18S ribosomal RNA". It matches the Rfam family "Eukaryotic small subunit ribosomal RNA", at positions 1470 to 1796 of the family's 1831-position model. The record is from RNAcentral.